Molecule: transfer RNA, 78 nt
Filed under: Candidatus Cloacimonadota bacterium
Lineage: Bacteria; Pseudomonadati; Candidatus Cloacimonadota
Description: Candidatus Cloacimonetes bacterium tRNA-Pro
Rfam family: tRNA
About the family: Transfer RNA (tRNA) molecules are approximately 80 nucleotides in length.
Source: RNAcentral
CGGGAUGUAGCGCAGUCCGGCUAGCGUUCACGAAUGGGGUUCGUGAGGUCGCAGGUUCGAAUCCUGUCAUCCCGACCA